GGCGAGGCCGAGAGGCGUAGUCGAUGGGAAACAGGUUAAUAUUCCUGUACUUGGUGUUACUGCGAAGGGGGGACGGAGAAGGCUAUGUUGGCCGGGCGACGGUUGUCCCGGUUUAAGCGUGUAGGCUGGUUUUCCAGGCAAAUCCGGAAAAUCAAGGCUGAGGCGUGAUGACGAGGCACUACGGUGCUGAAGCAACAAAUGCCCUGCUUCCAGGAAAAGCCUCUAAGCAUCAGGUAACAUCAAAUCGUACCCCAAACCGACACAGGUGGUCAGGUAGAGAAUACCAAGGCGCUUGAGAGAACUCGGGUGAAGGAACUUGGCAAAAUGGUGCCGUAACUUCGGGAGAAGGCACGCUGAUAUGUAGGUGAAGCGACUUGCUCGUGGAGCUGAAAUCAGUCGAAGAUACCAGCUGGCUGCAACUGUUUAUUAAAAACACAGCACUGUGCAAACACGAAAGUGGACGUAUACGGUGUGACGCCUCCCCGGUGCCGGAAGGUUAAUUGAUGGGGUCAGCGCAAGCGAAGCUCUUGAUCGAAGCCCCGGUAAACGGCGGCCGUAACAAUAACGGUCCUAAGGUAGCGAAAUUCCUUGUCGGGUAAGUUCCGACCUGCACGAAUGGCGUAAUGAUGGCCAGGCUGUCUCCACCCGAGACUCAGUGAAAUUGAACUCGCUGUGAAGAUGCAGUGUACCCGCGGCAAGACGGAAAGACCCCGUGAACCUUUACUAUAGCUUGACACUGAACAUUGAGCCUUGAUGUGUAGGAUAGGUGGGAGGCUUUGAAGUGUGGACGCCAGUCUGCAUGGAGCCGACCUUGAAAUACCACCCUUUAAUGUUUGAUGUUCUAACGUGGACCCGUGAUCCGGGUUGCGGACAGUGUCUGGUGGGUAGUUUGACUGGGGCGGUCUCCUCCUAAAGAGUAGCGGAGGAGCACGAAGGUUGGCUAAUCCUGGUCGGACAUCAGGAGGUUAGUGCAAUGGCAUAAGCCAGCUUGACUGCGAGCGUGACGGCGCGAGCAGGUGCGAAAGCAGGUCAUAGUGAUCCGGUGGUUCUGAAUGGAAGGGCCAUCGCUCAACGGAUAAAAGGUACUCCGGGGAUAACAGGCUGAUACCGCCCAAGAGUUCAUAUCGACGGCGGUGUUUGGCACCUCGAUGUCGGCUCAUCACAUCCUGGAGCUGAAGUAGGUCCCAAGGGUAUGGCUGUUCGCCAUUUAAAGUGGUACGCGAGCUGGGUUUAGAACGUCGUGAGACAGUUCGGUCCCUAUCUGCCGUGGGCGCUGGAGAACUGAGGGGGGCUGCUCCUAGUACGAGAGGACCGGAGUGGACGCAUCACUGGUGUUCGGGUUGUCAUGCCAAUGGCACUGCCCGGUAGCUAAAUGCGGAAGAGAUAAGUGCUGAAAGCAUCUAAGCACGAAACUUGCCCCGAGAUGAGUUCUCCCUGACUCCUUGAGAGUCCUGAAGGAACGUUGAAGACACGACGUUGAUAGGCCGGGUGUGUAAGCGCAGCGAUGCGUUGAGCUAACCGGUACUAAUGAACCGUGAGGCUUAACC
RNAcentral lists this ribosomal RNA (1547 nucleotides) under metagenome. RNAcentral describes it as "bacterial LSU rRNA". It matches the Rfam family "Bacterial large subunit ribosomal RNA", at positions 1395 to 2925 of the family's 2925-position model. The record is from RNAcentral.